This 19-nucleotide microRNA is filed under the name Corchorus olitorius. Its description in RNAcentral is "cin-miR-4101-". Lineage: Eukaryota; Viridiplantae; Streptophyta; Magnoliopsida; Malvales; Malvaceae. The record is from RNAcentral.
UAGAUUGCUGUAUAUGUGG